RNAcentral lists this transfer RNA (64 nucleotides) under marine eukaryotic metagenome. It matches the Rfam family "tRNA", at positions 6 to 65 of the family's 71-position model. From Rfam's summary of the family: Transfer RNA (tRNA) molecules are approximately 80 nucleotides in length. Their secondary structure includes four short double-helical elements and three loops (D, anti-codon, and T loops). The record is from RNAcentral.
UCAUAGCUCAGUUGGUUAGAGCAUCUGACUCAUAAUCAGAGGGUCCAAGGUUCGAGCCCUUGUG